This 85-nucleotide transfer RNA is filed under the name Sphaerochaeta sp. PS. Its description in RNAcentral is "tRNA-Ser". It matches the Rfam family "tRNA". From Rfam's summary of the family: Transfer RNA (tRNA) molecules are approximately 80 nucleotides in length. Their secondary structure includes four short double-helical elements and three loops (D, anti-codon, and T loops). Lineage: Bacteria; Pseudomonadati; Spirochaetota; Spirochaetia; Spirochaetales; Sphaerochaetaceae. The record is from RNAcentral.
GGAGAGGUGUCCGAGUGGUCGAUGGUGCACGCUUGGAAAGCGUGUGUGCUGGAAGGCACCGGGGGUUCGAAUCCCCCCCUCUCCG